UACGUAGGGGGCGAGCGUUGUCCGGAUUUAUUGGGCGUAAAGAGCGUGUAGGCGGUUCGGUAAGUCUGUCGUGAAAUCCUGAGGCUCAACCUCGGGCGUGCGAUGGAUACUGCCGGGCUAGAGGGUGGUAGAGGCGAGUGGAAUUCCCGGUGUAGCGGUGAAAUGCGCAGAUAUCGGUGGGAACACCAGUAGCGAAGGCGGCUCGCUGGGCCACACCUGACGCUGAGACGCGAAAGCUAGGGGAGCGAACAGG
RNAcentral lists this ribosomal RNA (253 nucleotides) under uncultured bacterium. RNAcentral describes it as "partial 16S ribosomal RNA". It matches the Rfam family "Bacterial small subunit ribosomal RNA", at positions 524 to 776 of the family's 1533-position model. The record is from RNAcentral.